This 614-nucleotide long non-coding RNA is filed under the name Mus musculus (house mouse). RNAcentral describes it as "predicted gene, 47468". The record is from RNAcentral. Lineage: Eukaryota; Metazoa; Chordata; Mammalia; Rodentia; Muridae.
GGGUCUGUAUCUUUCAGCUGCCUCUCUGCUGGCCUUCUCUAACCUGGCCUUUUCUAUCCGUCCUCAGUAUUUCUAGCCCCUGCAGGCCCACCUUCUCCACCAUUUCUAGAUGAUGGAACGGCAGCAACAGAAGAGAUGGCUGCAUUUGGCUCACAGGCAUAGGUUGGACUCCUGCUUCUUUGGACCUCUCCUGGGCGCCGUGCUGUGUUCCCCAUUCUCUGAGCAGUGGAGAGUGACUGGUAUCUUUUCCAUAUUCGAAAUCUCUCUCAGGCUCCAGCAAGACCUCCACAUCAGUGCCUGGGGUUCAGUCUAAUGCAUGACUGUGCCAUGGAUGUCAACGGGCAGAUGAGAGUUGGCCAGCUGGGAAGGAACCUACUGUGUGUCUCCUCUCCCUGCAGUCCCUGCACUCAGGGAAGCCAGAUGCCUCCUGCUCCCGUGGGAGUUCUCUCUCCCUGUAGGUCUCUGCUGAUUAUGUGUAUGCACAGCUUGAGUAUUUUGAGUGUUGAGCUGGGGGCUCCAGGCUACUUGAGGACAGACAGGGUUUGGAGGCAGGAUCCCCUGACAGAAGAGACAUUUGCUGAACCGUGGCAGAGGACUGAGGUUUGGAAAAUGGG